GUGUUCAGUUCGGCAGCACAUAUACUAAAAUUGAAACUAUAGAGAAGAUUAGCAUGGCCCCUGCACAAGGUUGACACGCAUAUUUGUAAAGCAUUCAAUAACAGU
Small nuclear RNA from Suncus etruscus (white-toothed pygmy shrew), 105 nucleotides. Lineage: Eukaryota; Metazoa; Chordata; Mammalia; Eulipotyphla; Soricidae. The record is from RefSeq and is a predicted model, not a curated record.